AAGAAAAUUAAGGGGAAAUAGGGUAUGAAAUGCAAAUAUGGGAAGUUUGGUGUGUAGGGAGUACAAUUUCUCAUUUAUUUAAUAUUUAAAUUCACAGUUUCAACAAUAAUAAGAUAUGUUUUUAAAAAAUAUUUUUUUAUAAUAUCUAUACAAUAUCUUAAAUUUUGAAAUGUUUGAAAAAAACAGGCGACAUGUCUCCUUGUCUUCAUUCCGUGAUUUUUUUUUAAUCUGGUUUUGCAAACCAUUUUUCUCUAGCUUGAUAGUUUAUUUUUUCCGUGAUUUUUUUCAAUCUGUUUUUGUGUUCUAAACAUUUGUCUACGGAUUUGGUUUUGAUUUUCUAGGUUUUGGUAAUUUUUUUUAUUUUGAUUUUGUAAUAAAUUUGGUUAUUUUCACUUUUCACCAAACUAACACUUUCUUUCACCACCACUCUGUAAUGCACACCGGUGAGAAAUAGAGAUUCCAAAUAAAAACACUCUAAGAAAAAACUCGCAAGAAGUUGAUAAUGUUCGAAGCUCUGUAAUGCACACUUUUCACCUUUGUUUCAAUACCUGAUAAUGUUCGAAGCUCAUUAUUGCAUACCAACAAAAUAUCAUUCAACACACAAAGAAGGAAAAUCAUGUGAGUUUUUUUUUUUAAUUGCACACGCUUGAUAAAUUUUAAUGCAUGAAAGAGAUAGAGAGCUAACAUGCCACAAUGCUUUUGAAAUAAAAUUCUGGAAAAGAACGGGACUCGGGUUCGAACUGAGGUAGUGUGUGUGUGUUUAAGUUACAAAGAAAAAAAAUCUGGAAAAGAAGAAAAACUUUGCAAAGAGAGAGAGCUAAGGUUCUAAUAAUAUUAUUAUUAUUAAUUUGAAAUUUAUAUUUUAAUUAUUGAAAUAUAAUAAUCUGGAUGAAAAUGUCUUUUCACAUUUUAAAAAGUGUAGUUUUCAAAAACAAAAAAAUGUAUUUUUUGUUACAAAGUCAAGAACUUGCGUAUACAAGUUAAUGUGGAGCCCAUCAUCAUAAAUUCUUACAGUAUUAUUUGUCUGAUUCUUCUUCUAUAUAAAGC
Molecule: long non-coding RNA, 1047 nt
Filed under: Brassica rapa (field mustard)
Lineage: Eukaryota; Viridiplantae; Streptophyta; Magnoliopsida; Brassicales; Brassicaceae
Description: long non-coding RNA (BRAP_LNC004608)
Source: RNAcentral